RNAcentral lists this microRNA precursor (73 nucleotides) under Petromyzon marinus (sea lamprey). Its description in RNAcentral is "microRNA pma-mir-4616 precursor". Lineage: Eukaryota; Metazoa; Chordata; Hyperoartia; Petromyzontiformes; Petromyzontidae. The record is from miRBase by way of RNAcentral.
CCUUGUUCCAAUUGGGCUGUGAAAGGCUACACAGGGGACCUUUGUCUUUGUGGUGUUUCAUGGCCAGGAGUUG